This 253-nucleotide ribosomal RNA is filed under the name uncultured bacterium. Its description in RNAcentral is "partial 16S ribosomal RNA". It matches the Rfam family "Bacterial small subunit ribosomal RNA", at positions 524 to 776 of the family's 1533-position model. The record is from RNAcentral.
GACGUAGGGCGCGAGCGUUGUCCGGAUUUAUUGGGCGUAAAGAGCUCGUAGGCGGCUCGUUGCGUCAACCGUGAAAACCCACAGCUCAACUGUGGGCUUGCGGUCGAUACGGGCAGGCUAGAGUUCGGUAGGGGAGACUGGAAUUCCUGGUGUAGCGGUGAAAUGCGCAGAUAUCAGGAGGAACACCGGUGGCGAAGGCGGGUCUCUGGGCCGAUACUGACGCUGAGGAGCGAAAGCGUGGGGAGCGAACAGG